UUUAAACACAGCCAUGAGUUUCCGUAUCCAACUUUGAUCGUCCGUCUUAUUUCAAUUUUUUUAUGAUUAAUAUUGUUAUUAGAUGAUAAAACAUGAAUAGUACUUUAUGCGUGACUUAUAUUUUUUAAUUUUUUUUAAAAAAAUAAAUAAUUUGUACGAUUAACGUUGGAUACGAAAACUAAUUACUAUGCUUAAA
MicroRNA precursor from Oryza sativa Japonica Group (Japanese rice), 196 nucleotides. It matches the Rfam family "MIR812 microRNA precursor family". NCBI's taxonomy places the organism in Eukaryota, Viridiplantae, Streptophyta, Magnoliopsida, Poales, Poaceae. The record is from Rfam.